This 108-nucleotide small nuclear RNA is filed under the name Microcebus murinus (gray mouse lemur). The record is from RNAcentral. Lineage: Eukaryota; Metazoa; Chordata; Mammalia; Primates; Cheirogaleidae.
GUGCUCACUUUGGUAGCAUGUAUACUAAAAAUUGGAAUGAUACAUAGAAGAUUAACAUGACCCCUGCACAAAGAUGACAUGCACAUCUGUGAAGUGCUCCAUAUUUUU